Molecule: long non-coding RNA, 514 nt
Organism: Crotalus tigris (Tiger rattlesnake)
Lineage: Eukaryota; Metazoa; Chordata; Lepidosauria; Squamata; Viperidae
Exons: 3
Source: RefSeq, a predicted model, not a curated record
GAGCGGCGGAGCCCGGACUGCUCCUGCGCGCGCUCUCGCUGCCCAUGCCCGGCGCUGAUGCAGGAGGCUCUGCGAAACCGAAGGAAAACAGACAAGACAGACAGAGAGACAGCAGGAAGCUCAGAUUCUACAACAGGCUGAACAGAAGCUGUUGGAAGCCUCCCACGUGUCCUCCUCCUUCACAGCUUCCUGAAUUCUGCAGAAAUUCUGAAGAGAGAAUUUUAAUGAAAUGAUGAAUCAUUGGUAUUUGGCUAAAAAUUGUCUAGAACACAGAACGGCAUUUUACAUUCAUGCUGCAAAUGAACAACAUGAAAAGGUAUUGUAUCAUGUUUUGUUCACAUGUAAACCAGAAACUUUUGGAUACAAAUGUGUAUGUUAAUUCAGAAGAUAUUUAAAAAAUGUCUUCUCUUUGAAACUAAUGACAAGCAAGUAGAAAAAAGUCAUGGAACUUUGCUUUUAUAUGUGUGACAGCUGCAGCAAGACAUACGGUAUUUGAGCAUUGUUUUCUCAAAAA